UACGAAGGGGGCUAGCGUUGCUCGGAAUUACUGGGCGUAAAGGGAGCGUAGGCGGACAGUUAAGUCAGUGGUGAAAGCCCAGAGCUCAACUCUGGAAUUGCCUUUGAUACUGAUUGUCUUGAGUAUGGGAGAGGUAUGCGGAACUCCGAGUGUAGAGGUGAAAUUCGUAGAUAUUCGGAAGAACACCAGUGGCGAAGGCGGCAUACUGGCCCAUUACUGACGCUGAGGCUCGAAAGCGUGGGGAGCAAACAGG
This 253-nucleotide ribosomal RNA is filed under the name uncultured Caulobacter sp. Its description in RNAcentral is "partial 16S ribosomal RNA". It matches the Rfam family "Bacterial small subunit ribosomal RNA", at positions 524 to 776 of the family's 1533-position model. Lineage: Bacteria; Pseudomonadati; Pseudomonadota; Alphaproteobacteria; Caulobacterales; Caulobacteraceae. The record is from RNAcentral.